RNAcentral lists this small nuclear RNA (20 nucleotides) under Arabidopsis thaliana (thale cress). RNAcentral describes it as "snRNA_05407". The record is from RNAcentral. Lineage: Eukaryota; Viridiplantae; Streptophyta; Magnoliopsida; Brassicales; Brassicaceae.
CCGGUGCGCCCCCGGCGGCC